AUGAACGCUGGCGGCGUGCCUAAUACAUGCAAGUCGAGCGAACAGACGAGGAGCUUGCUCCUCUGACGUUAGCGGCGGACGGGUGAGUAACACGUGGAUAACCUACCUAUAAGACUGGGAUAACUUCGGGAAACCGGAGCUAAUACCGGAUAAUAUAUUGAACCGCAUGGUUCAAUAGUGAAAGACGGUUUUGCUGUCACUUAUAGAUGGAUCCGCGCCGCAUUAGCUAGUUGGUAAGGUAACGGCUUACCAAGGCAACGAUGCGUAGCCGACCUGAGAGGGUGAUCGGCCACACUGGAACUGAGACACGGUCCAGACUCCUACGGGAGGCAGCAGUAGGGAAUCUUCCACAAUGGGCGAAAGCUUGACGGAGCAACGCCGCGUGAGUGAUGAAGGUCUUCGGAUCGUAAAACUCUGUUAUUAGGGAAGAACAAAUGUGUAAGUAACUAUGCACGUCUUGACGGUACCUAAUCAGAAAGCCACGGCUAACUACGUG
This 496-nucleotide ribosomal RNA is filed under the name uncultured bacterium. RNAcentral describes it as "partial 16S ribosomal RNA". It matches the Rfam family "Bacterial small subunit ribosomal RNA", at positions 29 to 507 of the family's 1533-position model. The record is from RNAcentral.